GGAACCGCAGCGAGCUGAGACUGACGCCACGGUGCAUGAUGGGACAUGCUACAAAGAUCCUCAACAAGAAGAAGAUGACCACACUGUUGGUUUCCGGAGGUGGAAUGUAACUAAGAACAUUUACUCAAGUCAUUCAAGAUGAAGCCUCUCUUAUCGGAUUAUUACAUUUUUACAGUUAUUUCAUAGAUUCUUUCUUUAUUAUUAUUUGUUUACUUUAAUGUACUAAAAUAAAUACUCAAGAAAAA
Sebastes umbrosus (honeycomb rockfish) is the source of this 245-nucleotide long non-coding RNA. RefSeq lists it as uncharacterized. Lineage: Eukaryota; Metazoa; Chordata; Actinopteri; Perciformes; Sebastidae. The record is from RefSeq and is a predicted model, not a curated record. The transcript has 2 exons.